Long non-coding RNA from Fundulus heteroclitus (mummichog), 171 nucleotides. RefSeq lists it as uncharacterized. The record is from RefSeq and is a predicted model, not a curated record. The transcript has 3 exons. Lineage: Eukaryota; Metazoa; Chordata; Actinopteri; Cyprinodontiformes; Fundulidae.
CCUCAGCGAGUAACUGAUGCCACAUACAAAAUCUGGAGAAAAAAAUCCACAUACCUUGCCCAGAUUGUGGCAAUGGAGCAGAAGCCAAGCCGCACAAAGGCACCCAUCUUGCCCCUCAGAAAUAACCUGACACUGAGCAGUGUGGAGGACAGAGCAGCCCUGCUUCGUGUG